GAUGAAGAACGCAGCGAAAUGCGAUAAGUAAUGUGAAUUGCAGAAUUCAGGGAAUCAUCGAAUCUUUGAACGCACAUUGCGCCCGUCAGUAUUCUGGCGGGCAUGCCUGUUCGAGCGUCAUUACGCCCCUCAAGUCCCCUGUGGACUUGGUGUUGGGGAUCGGCGAGGCUGGUUUUCCAGCACAGCCGUCCCUUAAAUUAAUUGGCGGUCUCGCCGUGGCCCUCCUCUGCGCAGUAGUAAAACACUCGCAACAGGAGCCCGGCGCGGUCCACUGCCGUAAAACCCCCCAACUUUUUAUAGUUGACCUCGAAUCAGGUAGGACUACCCGCUGAACUUAAGCAUAUCAAUAAGCUGAGGA
This 358-nucleotide unclassified non-coding RNA is filed under the name soil metagenome. RNAcentral's name for it is "partial contains 5.8S ribosomal RNA, internal transcribed spacer 2, and large subunit ribosomal RNA". The stretch from base 1 to 120 matches the Rfam family "5.8S ribosomal RNA", at positions 35 to 154 of the family's 154-position model. The record is from RNAcentral.